CCUCAUUAAAACAAACUGAAUCGAACUACUCGAAUGCAACUUUCACCAUUCAAUGCACGAUUAGUAAUUUGUGCUACACAUCUUUGUUUAAUUAUACCCUAUAGCAGAAGGGAUAGAACGAUAUACAAAUAAGAAUUGCUAAGGUCCAAGCAUUCAAAAUUAUAAGGGGGAAAAAAAAAAUACAAAACUAAAGCAAUUCAUACAGCUAGCAUUUGAUUCUAUGGAGCAUCCAAAUGGCCUUAAAUUUGCUUAAUGGAAACACAUUACUGCCUCGUAUCAUCUUGUUUCAGAUCUGAAUUGGAUAUUACAAAAACCUUUAACUACCCACCAAAUAACAAGUUUGAAGAGAGCUUGGCAGAAAUAAAGGAUUAAGUCGAGGAUCCAACCAUUGGGAUAAGUCGCUUCUUCCUCCUUAAGGCCAACCUUACCUAUUUCCUCUAACAUAUUUUUCUGGCAAACUAAAGACUCUUGAAAACCUUAGCAUUAUAUUCUUGGAGCUGCACAAAAUGGACCAUGACGAAGUUAACGAUUAAGCCCUCUUUGGGCUUCAUUUUUUCAAGAAAAUAUAUUUUCUGGAAUGGUAAAAAGUUGGAAGAUGUGAGGUUAUAAAAUAGAGAAAAGUUUUCGAUUUACGUGUAAAAUUAUUUUAUGAAAGAAUAUGUGGUUGAAAAAAGAGUUGUAAAAAUAAGGUUUUUAUAAAAAUGGAGCCCAAACAUGGGCUAAAAAGGAAAAGGAAGUUUGAAGGAACGAUGGAGUGGAAGGGUCCAUAACAUAGAGAUUUUAUCCUACCUCCACCAAUUGUUGCUUCAGGUAGCCGUUCAAUAGAAUACUUGUGUUGAGUAAUAUACAUGAUUGGUACACCCGGGAUCUGAUCAUAAAUAUCAAUGUUAGAUUUCAAUG
RNAcentral lists this long non-coding RNA (900 nucleotides) under Olea europaea subsp. europaea. The record is from RNAcentral. Lineage: Eukaryota; Viridiplantae; Streptophyta; Magnoliopsida; Lamiales; Oleaceae.